CCGUUGCAUCCUAUCUUCAUAGUUAUAUAUGUACCGCUUUUUUUUAUUUGGUCUUUUGCAUGAAUUCAAUCUGAAACAAGCUAGUCACUAGUUAGUUGGUAUGUUGACACCUUAUCAAAAAAUAUGUUUCUAUUCUAUGAAUUUAAGUAUGCUUGUGAAUUCAAGUAGAAUUUACAGAUUUCAUGGGUUCAGUGUAAUGUAAACCUAGGCUGU
Molecule: long non-coding RNA, 213 nt
Filed under: Sorghum bicolor (sorghum)
Lineage: Eukaryota; Viridiplantae; Streptophyta; Magnoliopsida; Poales; Poaceae
Description: long non-coding RNA (SBIC_LNC007515)
Source: RNAcentral